GCUUCGGUAGUGCAACGGUUAGCAUACGCUCUCGGAAAGAGUGAGAUCUGGGUUCGAAUCCCGGCUGACGCA
Parelaphostrongylus tenuis is the source of this 72-nucleotide non-coding RNA. NCBI's taxonomy places the organism in Eukaryota, Metazoa, Nematoda, Chromadorea, Rhabditida, Metastrongylidae. The record is from the annotation of a GenBank genome assembly.